GAGCCGGAGCUGGAGCAGCAGCAGCGACGCAGGGCACCCAACAUGGGAACAACGGUAGCAUUUCUGGUCAGGAGUAAAAGUCCACCGAGAAGCGUCCAGAAGUCAGCAGAACAAACAGGCUUUUGGGCUGAUUAACUAUGCUGCAGAUUGAUUUAGAAAUAUCGAAGGGUACAAACCUGUAACACUGCUCUAAUUUAAGAAGACAACUGAUGAGUAUACAGGAUUUUCAAAGCAAGAUCUGUGCCUACAUAACAGGGCUUGCUGACAGAUCAAAUGACAAAUCCUGCUUUUUCCUGUUCCCAAAAGAGGAAGCCCAACUUCAGUGCACAUGUGAAUCAACUGCUGUUGCCAAAAUGGAAAUGAUGUCUUUUGGGCUUUGAAAGGAGGAUAAUAUAAUAGCAGAACUGAGUUUGGAACAUGAUGCUGUCUUCAGUGACCUGUUAACAAGAAAGAGCUGAAGAACUGGGCCAGAAUAUAUUCUUUGUGUUUUCCAAUGCAGAUACAUACAGAAAUCCAUAUUUUCAAAUGUUUGUGUCUGAAAUUAGGCAGAUAAGCACUUGCAGGAGCUCAGAACAUGCCAUUCCUUUUGGAUUUAUGCUGAUCUCAUGAUCCCAGG
RNAcentral lists this long non-coding RNA (616 nucleotides) under Crocodylus porosus (Australian saltwater crocodile). Its description in RNAcentral is "lncRNA (ENSCPRG00005018857.1)". Lineage: Eukaryota; Metazoa; Chordata; Crocodylia; Crocodylidae. The record is from RNAcentral.